This is a non-coding RNA of Phlebopus sp. FC_14, 123 nucleotides long. NCBI's taxonomy places the organism in Eukaryota, Fungi, Basidiomycota, Agaricomycetes, Boletales, Boletinellaceae. The record is from the annotation of a GenBank genome assembly.
GGCUGACUAGCUCAGUUGGUUAGAGCGUCGUGCUAAUACAUAGUCCUGGGCUCCCUCUUGGCAACUCGAAGUGGCCUAAGGAUUGUUACGCGAAGGUCUUGGGUUCGAUCCCCACGUUGGCCA